GACGAACGCUGGCGGCGUGCUUAACACAUGCAAGUCGAACGGAAAGGCCCUGCUUUUGUGGGGUGCUCGAGUGGCGAACGGGUGAGUAACACGUGAGUAACCUGCCCUUGACUUUGGGAUAACUUCAGGAAACUGGGGCUAAUACCGGAUAGGAGCUCCUGCUGCAUGGUGGGGGUUGGAAAGUUUCGGCGGUUGGGGAUGGACUCGCGGCUUAUCAGCUUGUUGGUGGGGUAGUUGCUUACCAAGGCUUUGACGGGUAGCCGGCCUGAGAGGGUGACCGGCCACAUUGGGACUGAGAUACGGCCCAGACUCCUACGGGAGGCAGCAGGGGGGAAUAUUGCACAAUGGGCGGAAGCCUGAUGCAGCAACGCCGCGUGCGGGAUGACGGCCUUCGGGUUGUAAACCGCUUUCGCCUGUGACGAAGCGUGAGUGACGGUAAUGGGUAAAGAAGCACCGGCUAACUACGUG
Molecule: ribosomal RNA, 468 nt
Filed under: uncultured bacterium
Lineage: Bacteria
Description: partial 16S ribosomal RNA
Rfam family: Bacterial small subunit ribosomal RNA
Source: RNAcentral